UUUUAUGCAUUCUUAAACUGUAUUCAUCUUGUCUUCAUAUUUAAAUUAUGUUGUUAUAAUAUUCAUAAAAUUCAAAAUAUAUUAAUCAUAAGCAUUUAUUUAUCAUUCUCUAUAAAAGUACUCUCUCAAAAAAAUUGUGAAAAAUUUCUCUAUUUUUUCCUCUGUUUCUCUCCCUCCAAAGUCUUCUCUUCCCCCACCGUGCAAACACGCAAACAAAGCCAAAGAGUGGCUUCUGAAUGUAUGAGUCUUUGUUCUAAGACAUGGAUUGAUCACCCUCCCCAACACUAGUUAAAGAGUUCUGAAAUUUAGGAGCCUUGAAGUUGAAUUGCUCUGUUGUCCGAGUUUGUAGCCGAGAGGAAAAAGUCAUGGACACGCUAGUGUUCUGGACAGUUGUUGAUGUCAUUGGAAUCUCUCUAACCAUGCAUUCUUUACAUCUAUAAUAAUAAUGGUACAAGAAUUUAGAAUUGAAGAAUAUGUGAUGGAAAACAUAAUAUACGAAUAUUUCAAUGCAAAUUUGUAGGUGAAA
This is a long non-coding RNA of Trifolium pratense (red clover), 526 nucleotides long. RefSeq lists it as uncharacterized. The transcript is spliced from 4 exons. The record is from RefSeq and is a predicted model, not a curated record. Lineage: Eukaryota; Viridiplantae; Streptophyta; Magnoliopsida; Fabales; Fabaceae.